RNAcentral lists this ribosomal RNA (255 nucleotides) under uncultured bacterium. Its description in RNAcentral is "partial small subunit ribosomal RNA". It matches the Rfam family "Bacterial small subunit ribosomal RNA", at positions 26 to 285 of the family's 1533-position model. The record is from RNAcentral.
AGGACGAACGCUGGCGGCGUGCUUAACACAUGCAAGUCGAGCGGAAAGGCCCUUCGGGGUACUCGAGCGGCGAACGGGUGAGUAACACGUGAGUAACCUGCCCCUAGCUCUGGGAUAGCUCCGGGAAACCGGGAUUAAUACCAGAUACGACCACUUUAGACAUCUGUCGUGGUGGAAAGGAUUCCGGCUAGGGAUGGGCUCGCGGCCUAUCAGCUUGUUGGUGGGGUAACGGCCUACCAAAGGCGACGACGGGUA